AUGUCUUGGUUGUUGCCUACAGGUCAGAAGCUCUUAAUACUUGUCGUCGCCACCCUAACCCUACAACAUAGUACUACUGUUGCUUAUGGGUCUGGGACCUCUGGGAGCAUCAGCAUGGCACUGCCUGGCUGCCCAGGCAAUUGUGGCAAUGUGAGCAUUCCGUACCCAUUCGGCACUAAAAAAGGCUGCUUCCGAGAAUCCUUUAAUGUCACAUGCAAUGAGACUGGAGCAUAUCUGGGCUCAAACGGACUUAGAGUACUGGACAUCACUCUUAACUUGGGUGAGGUUCGUGUUCAGAACCCACAAAUAUCAUCACAAUGUAACUACAGCAAUGGCAGUAAUAGCACCAGUGAUUUGGACGUCUUAUAUCUUGAUCCUUUUCAUACGGUUUCCAACACCAAGAACAAGUUGGCAUCAAUCGGCUGUGGUGUACUUGCAGUGCUUGUGGGACAAGCCGAGGGCAAGAACCAGCUUGAGUACUAUACCGCUGACUCAUGCAUUUCAUCUUGCUUUGACACAAGCAGCAUCUAUAAUGGAACAGAGUGCUCUGGCAUGGGUUGUUGCCAGGCCCCUGUUUCAGGAAACAUCAGCGCGUUCCUCGCUGGAUCCCAGCCACUACCACCUAUAUACAACUCUACCAUCCAGUCUUUCAGUCCUUGCAGCUACUCAUUCGUUGCUGUGAAGGACUGGUUCAAGUUUGAUCAUUCCUAUGUUAACUCUACAAAUUUCGCAAGUAAGCAUACAGAUGGGGUUCCUUUGGUACUCGAUUGGGUUGUUGGUAAUGAAAGUUGUUUGGAAGCCACAAAGAUGGGAUCACAGUCUGCCUGCCAAGCCAUGAACAGCGAAUGUGUUGAUGUGCCCAAUGGCUCCGGUUACCGCUGCAGCUGUUCUCAAGGUUAUGAAGGCAAUCCAUACCUACAAGGAGGGUGCCAAGACAUUAAUGAGUGCAACCAAUCCUUGAAUCCCUGCAAAGGUAAAUGCAGAAACACUGUGGGAAGCUACACCUGUUUUUGCUCAUCAGGAUUCAGGAGUGACGAUCCAAAGAGCAUACCCUGCGUUCGAUCUGACCCAAAGAGAGCGCUGAAAAUUGUGUUAGGCAUAUCCAUCAGUGUCGUCUUCCUCAUGGUUUGCAUCUUGGCUCUACGGGCCGAGUAUCAGAAAAGGAGGAUGAAGAAAGAGAAGGAAAGAUUCUUUGAUCAGAAUGGUGGUCAGAUAUUAUAUCACCAAAUUAUGUCAAAACAAGUUGAUACAUUGAGAAUAUUCACGCAAGAAGAUCUGAAGAAGGCUACAAAUGAUUUUGACAAGAGCAGAGAACUGGGCAGGGGUGGUCAUGGCACUGUCUACAAGGGCAUUCUCAAGGACAGCAGGGUAGUGGCUGUGAAGCGCUCGAAGAUCAUGAACGUGGCCGAAACUGACGAAUUCGUACAGGAGAUUAUUAUACUUUCACAGACCAACCACCGGAAUGUGGUCAGGCUUCUAGGGUGCUGUCUAGAGGUGGAAGUUCCAAUGCUGGUCUACGAGUUCAUCCCUAAUGGCACUCUCUUUGCGUUCAUCCAUCGUAACUACACAAGUCCACCUCCCUCUCUGGACACCCGUCUCAGGGUCGCUCAAGAAUCAGCAGAAGCACUGGCGUAUCUGCAUCUGUCCAUGAACCGGCCUAUAGUACAUGGGGAUGUUAAGUCUAUGAACAUUCUCUUGGACGAGAACUACAUGGCGAAAGUGACCGACUUUGGGGCGUCAAGGAUGCUCCCCAAGGAUGAGGUUCAGUUUAUGACAUUGGUGCAGGGCACCAUGGGUUACCUCGACCCUGAGUACCUGCAGGAGCGGCAGCUAACAGAGAAGAGCGACGUUUACAGCUUUGGUGUUGUGUUGCUGGAGCUGAUCACGGGCAAGACGGCCAUCUACCACGAUGGACCCAAGGAAGGCAAGAGCCUUGCAUCGUCCUUCCUGCUCGCGAUGAAGGAUGGUAGCCUUGAUGGCAUACUGGACACAAGCAUAGUGGGUGACAGCAUGGAGAUGCUUCUGGGAGAAGUUGCUGAGCUGGCAAGGAUGUGCUUGAGCGCCAGGGGGGAAGAGAGACCUUCCAUGACCGAGGUGGCUGACAAGCUGAAGGCUAUGCGAAGCACCUGGAGGGAGAAACUGGUGCUCGAGCAUGGCAAAACAGAAUGUCUGGUUGUGUGCUCCUCACCUGCAGCUUCGGCUCUUCGCGAUCCUCCAUCAUCGAGCACGUUUUCAACUGGGCCCCACAUGUCUGGAAUAGGUAUAGAGACACCCAGGUGA
Molecule: ribosomal RNA, 2280 nt
Filed under: Triticum aestivum (bread wheat)
Lineage: Eukaryota; Viridiplantae; Streptophyta; Magnoliopsida; Poales; Poaceae
Description: partial small subunit ribosomal RNA
Source: RNAcentral